This 497-nucleotide ribosomal RNA is filed under the name uncultured bacterium. RNAcentral's name for it is "partial 16S ribosomal RNA". It matches the Rfam family "Bacterial small subunit ribosomal RNA", at positions 28 to 507 of the family's 1533-position model. The record is from RNAcentral.
GAUGAACGCUGGCGGCGUGCCUAAUACAUGCAAGUCGAGCGAACAGAUGAGGAGCUUGCUCCUCUGACGUUAGCGGCGGACGGGUGAGUAACACGUGGAUAACCUACCUAUAAGACUGGGAUAACUUCGGGAAAACGGAGCUAAUACCGGGUAAUAUAUUGCACCGCAUGGUUCAAUAGUGAAAGACGGUUUUGCUGUCACUUAUAGAUGGAUCCGCGCCGCAUUAGCUAGUUGGUAAGGUAACGGCUUACCAAGGCAACGAUGCGUAGCCGACCUGAGAGGGUGAUCGACCAGACUGGAACUGAGACACGGUCCAGACACCUACGGGAGGCAGCAGUAGGGAAUCUUCCGCGAUGGAGCAGAGCCUGACAGAGCAACGCCGCGUGAGUGAUGAAGGUCUUCGGAUCGUAAAACUCUGUUAUUAGGGAUAAACAAAUGUGUAAGUAACUAUGCACGUCUUGACGGUACCUAAUCAGAAAGCCACGGCUAACUACGUG